Molecule: ribosomal RNA, 253 nt
Filed under: uncultured bacterium
Lineage: Bacteria
Description: partial 16S ribosomal RNA
Rfam family: Bacterial small subunit ribosomal RNA
Source: RNAcentral
UACGUAGGGUGCAAGCGUUAUCCGGAAUUAUUGGGCGUAAAGAGCUCGUAGGCGGUUUGUCGCGUCUGCUGUGAAAACCCGAGGCUCAACCUCGGGCCUGCAGUGGGUACGGGCAGACUAGAGUGCGGUAGGGGAGAUUGGAAUUCCUGGUGUAGCGGUGGAAUGCGCAGAUAUCAGGAGGAACACCGAUGGCGAAGGCAGAUCUCUGGGCCGUAACUGACGCUGAGGCGCGAAAGCUAGGGGAGCAAACAGG